This 74-nucleotide transfer RNA is filed under the name Tolypocladium ophioglossoides CBS 100239. It matches the Rfam family "tRNA". From Rfam's summary of the family: Transfer RNA (tRNA) molecules are approximately 80 nucleotides in length. Their secondary structure includes four short double-helical elements and three loops (D, anti-codon, and T loops). The record is from Rfam by way of RNAcentral. Lineage: Eukaryota; Fungi; Ascomycota; Sordariomycetes; Hypocreales; Ophiocordycipitaceae.
UCCCCUGUAGCUCAAUUGGCUAGAGCGUCUGACUGUUAAUCAGGAGGUCGAAAGUUCGAGUCUUUCCGGGGGAG